Molecule: unclassified non-coding RNA, 313 nt
Filed under: Hevea brasiliensis (rubber tree)
Lineage: Eukaryota; Viridiplantae; Streptophyta; Magnoliopsida; Malpighiales; Euphorbiaceae
Source: RNAcentral
GGAGUCCAUCCAAUGUUGUUGGCUUCUAAUAUAGUAGACGGAUGCUUUUUAAUCAACUGUUUAAUGAAAUCUGAAAGAUUAACAUGGUCCUGGUGGAUGUCCCUUCUGAGCAAUUUUGUUACUCCAAAGCGAAUGAACCUGAUACAGUCCCUGACUGAAAGGUGGACAACAAAAAAGAGAGGAUUCCUGAACUGUGUGACAUCCAGGUUCAAUUUUUCACCAUUGAAAUAUGAGCGAAUGACUGCUGCAUGCAAGGCAUUCAUAUUGUUCCUUCCCUGGAAAGAGCAACCUGGGACAGUUUCUAAGAUGUAGC